RNAcentral lists this ribosomal RNA (1347 nucleotides) under uncultured organism. Its description in RNAcentral is "partial 16S ribosomal RNA". It matches the Rfam family "Bacterial small subunit ribosomal RNA", at positions 65 to 1411 of the family's 1533-position model. The record is from RNAcentral.
AGGGGUAGCUAUGGCUUCGGCCAGGCGACGACCGGCGCACGGGUGAGUAUCGCGUUUGUUGCCCACCUCUGAGGGGAGGAUUCCCCGAACAAUUUCGAAUCACUACUCCAUAAUAUUCCGGACUCGCGUCUGCUCGUGGCUAACUCCCCUCCGGUCAGAGAUGGGCUUGCUUGACAUUACCUUGUUGGUGAGGUAACCUCUCAUCUGGGCUACCAUGUCUAGGGGGUCUGAAAGGAUGGACCCCCAGGCUGGGACUGACAGACGGACCCCACUCCUACGGGAGGCAUCUCUGAGGAAUAUUGGUCAAUGGCCCAAACCCUGAGCCGGCCAUGCCGCGUGAAGGAUGACAGCCCUAUGGGUUGUAAACUUCUUUUGUACGGGAAGAAACGCUUCUACGUGUAGAGGUUUGACGGUACCGUACCAAUAAGCAUCGGCUAACUCCGUGCCAGCAGCCGCGGUAAUACGGAGGAUGCAAGCGUUAUCCGGAUUUAUUGGGUUUAAAGGGUACGUACGCGGGAGCUUAAGUCACUGGUGAAAUCCUGCAUCUUAACUGUACAACUGUCAUUGAUACUGGGCUUCUUGAAUGUAGUUAAGGUAGGCGGAAUGUGUAAUGUACCGGUGAAAUGCUUACAUAUUACACAGGACACCGAUUGCGAAGGCAGCUUACUCAUCUAGCGAUCAGAUGCUGAGGUAGGAAAGCGUGGGGAGCGAACAGGAUUAGAUACCCUGGUAGUGCACGCUGUAAUACGAUGAUCACUCUUUGUUGGCCAUACACCGUCCGCGACUCGAGCGAAAGCAUUAAGUGAUCCACCUGGGGAGUACGACCGCAAGGUUGAAACUCAAAGGAAUUGACGGGGGCCCGCACAAGCGGAGGAACAUGUGGUUUAAUUUGAUGAUACGCGAGGAACCUUACCUGGGAUUAAAUGUAGAAGGACGGACCGGGAAACUGGUCUUUUUUCGGACGGUUUGCAAGGUGUUGCAUGGCCUUCGUCAGCUCGUGCCGUGAGGUGUCGGGUUAAGUCCCAUAACGAGCGCAACCCUCAUCAUUAGUUUCCAGCGGGUAAUGCCGGGGACUGUAAUGAAAUCCCCGGGGUAAACCGAGAGGAAGGCGGGGACGACGUCAAGUCAGCACGGCCCUUACGUCCAGGCCUUCACAGCUGUUACAAUGGUCGGUACAAAGGGCAGGUACAUGGCGACAGGAUGCUAAUCUGGAAAACCGAUAUCAGUUUGGAUUGAAGUGUGCAAAUCGAAUUGGGGAAGUUGGAUAUUCUCGUAAUCGUGCAUCAGCCAUGGCGCGGUGAAUACGUUCCCGGCCCUUGUACACACCGCCCGUCAAGCCAUGGAAGC